RNAcentral lists this unclassified non-coding RNA (461 nucleotides) under Hevea brasiliensis (rubber tree). Lineage: Eukaryota; Viridiplantae; Streptophyta; Magnoliopsida; Malpighiales; Euphorbiaceae. The record is from RNAcentral.
GCCUUAUCCAAACCCCUAUUUUCCGGCCUCCGGCGAGCUUCAAGAGCGGCGGAACUGCUGUCUUGUCUUCCAUUUCAUUUACACAGGCGAUUGCAAAGGGUUAGGCGGAGGUGCCGAAGCAAGAUGUGGCGCUGUGUUUCUCGUGGCCUUCGCGCUUCUUCUUCCUUUUCCAGGAAAUCAUCCCCCAAUGAUCACCUCAGAUCUCAAUUUUCUAGAUUCUUCUCCGCCGAUUCGACGGCAAGUCGCUCCUCAUACACUGUGGUUGAUCACACCUACGAUGCGGUUGUGGUAGGCGCGGGUGGUGCAGGGCUUCGAGCUGCUAUAGGAUUGUCAGAGCAUGGAUUUAAUACUGCUUGCAUUACUAAGCUUUUCCCAACUCGUUCUCACACGGUUGCAGCUCAGGGAGGUAUAAAUGCUGCACUGGGAAACAUGACUGAGGAUGAUUGGAGGUGGCACAUGUA